This 2892-nucleotide ribosomal RNA is filed under the name Pseudomonas orientalis. Its description in RNAcentral is "23S ribosomal RNA". It matches the Rfam family "Bacterial large subunit ribosomal RNA". Lineage: Bacteria; Pseudomonadati; Pseudomonadota; Gammaproteobacteria; Pseudomonadales; Pseudomonadaceae. The record is from RNAcentral. RNAcentral also lists the same sequence under 1 other name.
GGUCAAGUGAAGAAGCGCAUACGGUGGAUGCCUUGGCAGUCAGAGGCGAUGAAAGACGUGGUAGCCUGCGAAAAGCUUCGGGGAGUCGGCAAACAGACUUUGAUCCGGAGAUGUCUGAAUGGGGGAACCCAGCCAUCAUAAGAUGGUUACCUUACACUGAAUACAUAGGUGUAUGGAGCGAACCAGGGGAACUGAAACAUCUAAGUACCCUGAGGAAAAGAAAUCAACCGAGAUUCCCUUAGUAGUGGCGAGCGAACGGGGACUAGCCCUUAAGUGGCUUUGAGAUUAGCGGAACGCUCUGGAAAGUGCGGCCAUAGUGGGUGAUAGCCCUGUACGCGAAAAUCUCUUAGUCAUGAAAUCGAGUAGGACGGAGCACGAGAAACUUUGUCUGAAUAUGGGGGGACCAUCCUCCAAGGCUAAAUACUACUGACUGACCGAUAGUGAACUAGUACCGUGAGGGAAAGGCGAAAAGAACCCCGGAGAGGGGAGUGAAAUAGAUCCUGAAACCGUAUGCGUACAAGCAGUGGGAGCCCACUUUGUUGGGUGACUGCGUACCUUUUGUAUAAUGGGUCAGCGACUUAUUUUCAGUGGCGAGCUUAACCGAAUAGGGGAGGCGUAGCGAAAGCGAGUCUUAAUAGGGCGUCUAGUCGCUGGGAAUAGACCCGAAACCGGGCGAUCUAUCCAUGGGCAGGUUGAAGGUUGGGUAACACUAACUGGAGGACCGAACCGACUACCGUUGAAAAGUUAGCGGAUGACCUGUGGAUCGGAGUGAAAGGCUAAUCAAGCUCGGAGAUAGCUGGUUCUCCUCGAAAGCUAUUUAGGUAGCGCCUCAUGUAUCACUGUAGGGGGUAGAGCACUGUUUCGGCUAGGGGGUCAUCCCGACUUACCAAACCGAUGCAAACUCCGAAUACCUACAAGUGCCGAGCAUGGGAGACACACGGCGGGUGCUAACGUCCGUCGUGAAAAGGGAAACAACCCAGACCGUCAGCUAAGGUCCCAAAGUUAUGGUUAAGUGGGAAACGAUGUGGGAAGGCUUAGACAGCUAGGAGGUUGGCUUAGAAGCAGCCACCCUUUAAAGAAAGCGUAAUAGCUCACUAGUCGAGUCGGCCUGCGCGGAAGAUGUAACGGGGCUCAAACCAUACACCGAAGCUACGGGUAUCACGUAAGUGAUGCGGUAGAGGAGCGUUCUGUAAGCCUGUGAAGGUGAGUUGAGAAGCUUGCUGGAGGUAUCAGAAGUGCGAAUGCUGACAUGAGUAACGACAAUGGGUGUGAAAAACACCCACGCCGAAAGACCAAGGUUUCCUGCGCAACGUUAAUCGACGCAGGGUUAGUCGGUCCCUAAGGCGAGGCUGAAAAGCGUAGUCGAUGGAAAACAGGUUAAUAUUCCUGUACUUCUGGUUAUUGCGAUGGAGGGACGGAGAAGGCUAGGCCAGCUUGGCGUUGGUUGUCCAAGUUUAAGGUGGUAGGCUGGAAUCUUAGGUAAAUCCGGGAUUCUAAGGCCGAGAGCUGAUGACGAGUCGUCUUUUAGACGACGAAGUGGUUGAUGCCAUGCUUCCAAGAAAAGCUUCUAAGCUUCAGGUAACCAGGAACCGUACCCCAAACCGACACAGGUGGUUGGGUAGAGAAUACCAAGGCGCUUGAGAGAACUCGGGUGAAGGAACUAGGCAAAAUGGCACCGUAACUUCGGGAGAAGGUGCGCCGGUGAGGGUGAAGGACUUGCUCCGUAAGCUCAUGCCGGUCGAAGAUACCAGGCCGCUGCGACUGUUUAUUAAAAACACAGCACUCUGCAAACACGAAAGUGGACGUAUAGGGUGUGACGCCUGCCCGGUGCCGGAAGGUUAAUUGAUGGGGUUAGCUAACGCGAAGCUCUUGAUCGAAGCCCCGGUAAACGGCGGCCGUAACUAUAACGGUCCUAAGGUAGCGAAAUUCCUUGUCGGGUAAGUUCCGACCUGCACGAAUGGCGUAACGAUGGCGGCGCUGUCUCCACCCGAGACUCAGUGAAAUUGAAAUCGCUGUGAAGAUGCAGUGUAUCCGCGGCUAGACGGAAAGACCCCGUGAACCUUUACUAUAGCUUUGCACUGGACUUUGAAUUUGCUUGUGUAGGAUAGGUGGGAGGCUUUGAAGCGUGGACGCCAGUCUGCGUGGAGCCAACCUUGAAAUACCACCCUGGCAACUUUGAGGUUCUAACUCAGGUCCGUUAUCCGGAUCGAGGACAGUGUAUGGUGGGUAGUUUGACUGGGGCGGUCUCCUCCUAAAGAGUAACGGAGGAGUACGAAGGUGCGCUCAGACCGGUCGGAAAUCGGUCGUAGAGUAUAAAGGCAAAAGCGCGCUUGACUGCGAGACAGACACGUCGAGCAGGUACGAAAGUAGGUCUUAGUGAUCCGGUGGUUCUGUAUGGAAGGGCCAUCGCUCAACGGAUAAAAGGUACUCCGGGGAUAACAGGCUGAUACCGCCCAAGAGUUCAUAUCGACGGCGGUGUUUGGCACCUCGAUGUCGGCUCAUCACAUCCUGGGGCUGAAGCCGGUCCCAAGGGUAUGGCUGUUCGCCAUUUAAAGUGGUACGCGAGCUGGGUUUAGAACGUCGUGAGACAGUUCGGUCCCUAUCUGCCGUGGACGUUUGAGAUUUGAGAGGGGCUGCUCCUAGUACGAGAGGACCGGAGUGGACGAACCUCUGGUGUUCCGGUUGUCACGCCAGUGGCAUUGCCGGGUAGCUAUGUUCGGAAUAGAUAACCGCUGAAAGCAUCUAAGCGGGAAACUAGCCUCAAGAUGAGAUCUCACUGGAACCUUGAGUUCCCUGAAGGGCCGUCGAAGACUACGACGUUGAUAGGUUGGGUGUGUAAGCGCUGUGAGGCGUUGAGCUAACCAAUACUAAUUGCCCGUGAGGCUUGACCAU